UGGAAAAGAGUUGAAGGCAUCCUUGAUA
Molecule: non-coding RNA, 28 nt
Filed under: Mus musculus (house mouse)
Lineage: Eukaryota; Metazoa; Chordata; Mammalia; Rodentia; Muridae
Source: RNAcentral